RNAcentral lists this ribosomal RNA (497 nucleotides) under uncultured bacterium. RNAcentral describes it as "partial 16S ribosomal RNA". It matches the Rfam family "Bacterial small subunit ribosomal RNA", at positions 29 to 507 of the family's 1533-position model. The record is from RNAcentral.
AAUGAACGCUGGCGGCGUGCCUAAUACAUGCAAGUCGAGCGAACAGACGAGGAGCUUGCUCCUCUGCCGUUAGCGGCGGACGGGUGAGUAACACGUGGAUAACCUACCUCUAAGACUGGGAUAACUUCGGGAAACCGGAGCUAAUACCGGAUAAUAUAUUGAACCGCAUGGUUCAAUAGUGAAAGACGGUUUUGCUGUCACUUAUAGAUGGAUCCGCGCCGCAUUAGCUAGUUGGUAAGGUCACGGCUUACCAAGGCAACGAUGCGUAGCCGACCUGAGAGGGUGAUCAGCCACACUGGAACUGAGACACGGUCCAGACUCCUACGGGAGGCAGCAGUAGGGAAUCUUCCGCAAUGGGCGAAAGCUUGACCGAGCAACGCCGCGUGAGUGAUGAAGGUCUUCGGAUCGUAAAACUCUGUUAUUAGGGAAGAACAAAUGUGUAAGUAACUAUGCACGUCUUGACGGUACCUAAUCAGAAAGCCACGGCUAACUACGUG